Molecule: ribosomal RNA, 520 nt
Filed under: uncultured Glomus
Lineage: Eukaryota; Fungi; Glomeromycota; Glomeromycetes; Glomerales; Glomeraceae
Description: SSU rRNA
Rfam family: Eukaryotic small subunit ribosomal RNA
Source: RNAcentral
AGCAGCCGCGGUAAUUCCAGCUCCAAUAGCGUAUAUUAAAGUUGUUGCAGUUAAAAAGCUCGUAGUUGAAUUUCGGGGUCAGUAGGCUGGUCGUGCCUCCGGUACGUACUGGUCUUACUGAUUCCUCCUUCCUGACGAACCGUAAUGCCAUUAAUUUGGUGUUGCGGGGAAUCUGGACUGUUACUUUGAAAAAAUUAGAGUGUUUAAAGCAGGCUAACGCUUGAAUACAUUAGCAUGGAAUAAUGAAAUAGGACGAUCGAUCCUAUUUUGUUGGUUUCUAGGAUUGACGUAAUGAUUAAUAGGGAUAGUUGGGGGCAUUAGUAUUCAAUUGUCAGAGGUGAAAUUCUUGGAUUUAUUGAAGACUAACUACUGCGAAAGCAUUUGCCAAGGAUGUUUUCAUUAAUCAAGAACGAAAGUUAGGGGAUCGAAGACGAUCAGAUACCGUCGUAGUCUUAACCAUAAACUAUGCCGACUAGGGAUCGGAUGAUGUUAAUUUUUAAUGACUCAUUCGGCGCCUUAC